CAUCCCCUGCGGUGUGCGACUGCGGCCUGGGUAUAUUCUUGAGCCUAAUCGAUGCCCCGGGGACAUGAUGAAAAGGCCGUUGUGCAGACCCGUCUUACCGCGGGAAGCCUGAAGCCGAAUCGGUUGUCCCCACUUGAACCUCAGGUUCAAGAACGAUGGUCCGCGACGCCACAGGCGGGGGAUGU
This 185-nucleotide non-coding RNA is filed under the name Thioflavicoccus mobilis 8321. RNAcentral's name for it is "6S / SsrS RNA". It matches the Rfam family "6S / SsrS RNA". Rfam says of the family: E. coli 6S RNA was the first non coding RNA to be sequenced, but its function was unknown until recently. It consists of 184 nucleotides that fold into an extended hairpin structure with a large single-stranded internal bulge. The record is from Rfam by way of RNAcentral. Lineage: Bacteria; Pseudomonadati; Pseudomonadota; Gammaproteobacteria; Chromatiales; Chromatiaceae.